UAAAAUAGGAUUCCCCUAAUAGAACCCGUUGUUCCUUUUCAACCGAGACAUAUUUGAGGCAACUUUUUUUUCCCUAUGUAAACGACCAGGGCUUAUCUUCAUGGAUAUAGUAACCGGUUAUCAGGAAUGAAAAGGACCCGGUGUUACAAUAAAGCCGAAUUCUAUUGACACCCAGUUUCUCAUCGCAACGCAUAAAUUUUUAUUUUAUUUAUCAUCUUUUUUAAUUUAUUUAACAUUUUCUUGUGAUAAUUUGUACUUGCAUAGCAGCUGAGUCCACUAUUAAAAACAUUUAUCCUCUUUUCCUUACUUCCAUCUAUCUAUAAACCAAAAAAGACUAAAUUAUAAAUUUAUAUAUACCCAACGAUCUUCUUGAUUUUAGCAGAGCCAAUAUCCAUCCUCUUCAAUGAUGGAACAUAUGCACUGGAUGUACAAAAAUUAAACAGCACACUCCUCAAUAUAUGUCGUCUUUGGAAGAUUUUCUUAGAUUUGCCAAAGAUAAUCGAGUGAAUAAGGUCGAAAGUUAUAUUAGGUGUCCUUAUGUAGAUUGCAACAAGGACACCUAACAAAGUUAUAUGGAAAGUAGGAUCGGAGGAGAAAGUUUUUGCCUGAUCGAUUGUUUGGGAGUGUGUUCGUAGUCGGGAAGCAAAAGUACCAUGGGUGGAUGUUAUUUGGUUUUCUCAUUGUAUUCCUCGACAUGCUUUUCACAUGUGGCUCGUAGUGCAAGGUAAACUUCUUACUCAAGACAGAAUUCUUACAUGGAGUCCGUCGAGACGUAAGGAUAUGAACAUGAUAUGUUGUCCUCUAUGCAAGGCUAAUUUUGAUUCCCAUCACCAUCAGUUCUUUGAGUGUAUGUAUACUUCUCAUAUCUGGUCUUGUAUUAGAGAUAUUGCUGGUAUGCAGGUUAUCCCACCUCAUUUGGAGGCGAUUUUGGAUUGUCUCAUUCCACGUGCUCAUUCAAGGUCAGUCUCAAAUGUAGUAGGGCGAUUGAUUGUUGUUGCUGCUACAUACUACAUAUGGCAAGAACGUAACAGAAGACUUUUUGAGAACCAUUCGCGCCCUCAAGACAGAAUUCUUACAUGGAGUCUGUCGAGACGUAAGGAUAUGAACAUGAUGUGUUGUCCUCUAUGCAAGGCUGAUUUUGAUUCCCGUCACCAUCAGUUCUUUGAGUGUAUGUAUACUUCUCAUAUCUGGUCUUGUAUUAGAGAUAUUGCUGGUAUGCAGGUUAUCCCACCUCAUUUGGAGGCGAUUUUGGAUUGGCUCAUUCCACGUGCUCAUUCAAGAUCAGUCUCAAAUGUAGUAGGGCUACAUACUACAUAUGGCAAAAACGUAAUAGAAGACUUUUUGAGAACCAUUCGCGCCCUCCUGAUGUAGUUCACGAUAUCAUUAUUUCAACGGUCCGAUCAAGACUUAUGCGGUUUAAAUUCAAGAGAUCUGCCGAAGUGGUGGCUAAAUUGGCGUUAUGGAAUAUCCUUGGAGAAAGCUUGUUUCAAGAUGGCUAGUUAUUCUUGAGUAUUAAAUUACUUUGUCUACUGUUUUCUAUUUUACGUUGAUAGUAGGCUAGAUUACUAGCUAUUGAGGUAAAAUUGUAUUACAUAUAUAGGGCAUGUCCUAUAUAUGAACUAGUGUAGUAUCUCUGCUACAUUACUUUUACUUUAAUUGUUGGGUAUUUAUAACAGCCACCGGGGAAUUACCUUCCUCUUUACCCGUGCAGAUUGCAACAAUAACAUGAAGUUUGCUGAGA
Molecule: long non-coding RNA, 1741 nt
Organism: Erigeron canadensis
Lineage: Eukaryota; Viridiplantae; Streptophyta; Magnoliopsida; Asterales; Asteraceae
Exons: 2
Source: RefSeq, a predicted model, not a curated record